GCCGGCUUAGCUCAGUUGGCAGAGCACCUGAUUUGUAAUCAGGGGGUCGGGGGUUCGAGGCCCUCAGCCGGCACCA
Molecule: transfer RNA, 76 nt
Filed under: Thermopetrobacter sp.
Lineage: Bacteria; Pseudomonadati; Pseudomonadota; Alphaproteobacteria
Description: tRNA-Thr
Rfam family: tRNA
About the family: Transfer RNA (tRNA) molecules are approximately 80 nucleotides in length.
Source: RNAcentral